Non-coding RNA from Phrynosoma platyrhinos (Desert horned lizard), 71 nucleotides. The record is from the annotation of a GenBank genome assembly. NCBI's taxonomy places the organism in Eukaryota, Metazoa, Chordata, Lepidosauria, Squamata, Phrynosomatidae.
GCAAGUGUGGUGUAGUGGUUUGAAUGUUGGACUAGGAUUCCAAUAGACCAAGGUUCAAAUCCCCACUUGGC